GACGAACGCUGGCGGCGUGCUUAACACAUGCAAGUCGAACGGAAAGGCCCUGCUUUUGUGGGGUGCUCGAGUGGCGAACGGGUGAGUAACACGUGAGUAACCUGCCCUUGACUUUGGGAUAACUUCAGGAAAAUGGGGCUAAUACCGGAUAGGAGCUCCUGCUGCAUGGUGGGGGUUGGAAAGUUUCGGCGGUUGGGGAUGGUCUCGCGGCUUAUCAGCUUGUUGGUGGGGUAGUGGCUUACCAAGGUUUUGACGGGUAGCCGGCCUGGGAGGGUGACCGGCCACAUUGGGACUGAGGUACGGCCCAGACUCCUACCGGAGGCAGCAGGGGGGAAUAUGGCGCAAUGGGCGGGAGCGUGAUGCAGCAACGCCGCGUGCGGGAUGACGGCCUUCGGGUGGUAAACCGCUGUCGCCUGUAACGAAGCGUGAGUGACGGUAAUGAGUAAAGAAGCACCGGCUAACUACGUG
This 468-nucleotide ribosomal RNA is filed under the name uncultured bacterium. RNAcentral describes it as "partial 16S ribosomal RNA". It matches the Rfam family "Bacterial small subunit ribosomal RNA", at positions 28 to 507 of the family's 1533-position model. The record is from RNAcentral.